GUUGCAACAAAGAGUCCCUCCCGACUGUUUACCAAAAACACAGCACUUUGCUAACACGUAAGUGGAUGUAUAAGGUGUGACGCCUGCCCGGUGCUCGAAGGUUAAUUGAUGGUGUCAGAGCAAUCGAAGCACUUGAUCGAAGCCCGAGUAAACGGCGGCCGUAACAAUAACGGUCCUAAGGUAGCGAAAUUCCUUGUCGGUUAAAUACCGACCUGCAUGAAUGGCGUAACGAGAUGGGAGCUGUCUCAACCAGGGAUCCAGUGAAAUUGUAGUGGAGGUGAAAAUUCCUCCUACCCGCGGAAAGACGGAAAGACCCCGUGCACCUUUACUACAGCUUGACACUGUAGCUUGGAUAUUCAUGUGCAGGAUAGGUGGGAGGCUAUGAUGACUAGACGCCAGUAGAGUCGGAGCCAUCCUUGAGAUACCACCCUUGAAUAUUUGAGUUACUAACUGCGUACAAUUAUCUUGUAUCAGGACAAUGUCUGGUGGGUAGUUUGACUGGGGCGGUCGCCUCCUAAAAAGUACGGAGGCUUAACG
RNAcentral lists this ribosomal RNA (537 nucleotides) under uncultured bacterium. RNAcentral describes it as "bacterial LSU rRNA". It matches the Rfam family "Bacterial large subunit ribosomal RNA", at positions 1776 to 2315 of the family's 2925-position model. The record is from RNAcentral.